AAAUAGCAUCCUGUGUGAUCAAUAUUGUUAACGGGGCCCAACACGUUAUCUGCACUGUAAUGUAUUUAUGCGGGUGUGUAACAGUAUAUGUGAAGCACAUCAAGCACAUAUAAUGGCAGUCGCCACCUCACCCUGCAUCAGUCGGCAGCCGUUUGUCAGUGUCACACGCAAAUUGCUAACCACAAUGUCUCGUGCAAGUUUUGCUUUAUUACUUGUUUAUUUUGUAUGCGUCACCGAGUUAUCAUGCGGAUACAUAAUAAGAGGUAGAAACAUCGACAGUGUCUUCACUAAGGAAGUGCCAGCAUCUCAAGAUUUAAUUGACGGCAAUAAACUCACUCUCGACCAAGAAGUGCUUGCCCCAGAAAUCCCACUUAACAGAAAAUGCAAAGCGAUAGGGGAAUUUUGCAUGAACCACAAAGAUUGCUGCUCCAACGCCUGCUUAGGAUAUUUGAAAAAAUGCGUUUCUUAAGUAAAUUUGUAAACACGUUUAAAUAAAUAGACAUUAAGUAUUGGUUUACUAUUUAUUUAAUUUAUUUUACGGAUCGGAUGAAUAGGGUGGUUAAGAUUCGUUAAAUCUGGAGGAUUAGCCGCAAAAUACUGGAUUUCCUUUAUCGCAUCUUCCGAAAUUUUCCACAGUUCCGGAUAAUUUUUUUUAAAAUUAUUGUACCAAUUGUAAAUCUAAAACAAAUCAUUUAUGAGAUUAUCUUGUUAAGAAAUAUUAUAAUAUUAUUAGUAUAAUCAAAUAAAGUGUAUGAAUUUA
Long non-coding RNA from Nymphalis io (European peacock), 760 nucleotides. RefSeq lists it as uncharacterized. The record is from RefSeq and is a predicted model, not a curated record. NCBI's taxonomy places the organism in Eukaryota, Metazoa, Arthropoda, Insecta, Lepidoptera, Nymphalidae. The transcript has 2 exons.